AGUCGAACGGCAGCGCGGACUUCGGUCUGGCGGCGAGUGGCGAACGGGUGAGUAAUAUAUCGGAACAUACCCAGUAAUGGGGGAUAACUAUCCGAAAGGAUAGCUAAUACCGCAUACGCCCUAAGGGGGAAAGAGGGGGAUCGCAAGACCUCUUGUUAUUGGAGUGGCCGAUAUCUGAUUAGCUAGUUGGUAGGGUAAAAGCCUACCAAGGCAUCGAUCAGUAGCUGGUUUGAGAGAACGACCAGCCACACUGGAACUGAGACACGGUCCAGACUCCUACGGGAGGCAGCAGUGGGGAAUUUUGGACAAUGGGGGCAACCCUGAUCCAGCAAUGCCGCGUGAGUGAAGAAGGCCCUCGGGUUGUAAAGCUCUUUUGUCAGGGAAGAAAAGGUCACUCCUAAUACGGGUGACUGAUGACGGUACCUGAAGAAUAAGCACCGGCUAACUACGUGCCAGCAGCCGCGGUAAUACGUAGGGUGCAAGCGUUAAUCGGAAUUACUGGGCGUAAAGCGUGCGCAGGCGGUUUUAUAAGUCUGAUGUGAAAUCCCCGGGCUCAACCUGGGAACUGCAUUGGAGACUGUAAGGCUAGAGUGUGUCAGAGGGGGGUAGAAUUCCACGUGUAGCAGUGAAAUGCGUAGAUAUGUGGAGGAAUACCGAUGGCGAAGCAGCCCCCUGGGAUAACACUGACGCUCAUGCACGAAAGCGUGGGGAGCAAACAGAUAGAUACCCUGUAGUCCACGCCCUAAACGAUGUCUACUAUUGUCGGGACUUAAUGUCUUGGUAACGCAGCUAACGCGUGAAGUAACCGCCUGGGGAGUACGGUCGCAGAUUAAAACUCAAGAAUUGACGGGGACCCCA
This 858-nucleotide ribosomal RNA is filed under the name uncultured Burkholderiales bacterium. Its description in RNAcentral is "bacterial SSU rRNA". It matches the Rfam family "Bacterial small subunit ribosomal RNA", at positions 60 to 924 of the family's 1533-position model. The record is from RNAcentral. Lineage: Bacteria; Pseudomonadati; Pseudomonadota; Betaproteobacteria; Burkholderiales.